RNAcentral lists this ribosomal RNA (119 nucleotides) under Pteropus alecto (black flying fox). Lineage: Eukaryota; Metazoa; Chordata; Mammalia; Chiroptera; Pteropodidae. The record is from RNAcentral.
AUCUAUGACCAUGACACCCUGAACGUGCCGGAUCUCAUCUGAUCUCCGAAGCUAAGCAGGGUUGGGCCUGGUUAGUGCUUGGAUGGGAGACCACCUAAGAAUACCAGGUGCUGUAGGUG